RNAcentral lists this ribosomal RNA (253 nucleotides) under uncultured bacterium. RNAcentral's name for it is "partial 16S ribosomal RNA". It matches the Rfam family "Bacterial small subunit ribosomal RNA", at positions 524 to 776 of the family's 1533-position model. The record is from RNAcentral.
UACGAAGGGGGCUAGCGUUGCUCGGAAUCACUGGGUGUAAAGGGUGCGUAGGCGGGUCUUUAAGUCAGGGGUGAAAUCCUGGAGCUCAACUCCAGAACUGCCUUUGAUACUGAGGAUCUUGAGUUCGGGAGAGGUGAGUGGAACUGCGAGUGUAGAGGUGAAAUUCGUAGAUAUUCGCAAGAACACCAGUGGCGAAGGCGGCUCACUGGCCCGAUACUGACGCUGAGGCACGAAAGCGUGGGGAGCAAACAGG